AGUGCACAGGCAUAGCGCCUGUGCUUUUCGGUACCGUAAGGUGGUACCAGAAUAAGGGCUGGGCAAGACCGGUGCCAGCCGCCGCGGUAAUACCGGCAGCCCAAGUGAUGGCCGAUCUUAUUGGGCCUAAAGCGUCCGUAGCUGGCCGCGCAAGUCCAUCGGGAAAUCCACCUGCUCAACAGGUGGGCGCCCGGUAGAAACUGCGUGGCUUGGGACCGGAAGGCGCGACGGGUACGUCCGGGGUAGGAGUGAAAUCCCGUAAUCCUGGACGGACCGCCGAUGGCGAAAGCACGUCGCGAGAACGGAUCCGACAGUGAGGGACGAAAGCCAGGGUCUCGAACCGGAUUAGAUACCCGGGUAGUCCUGGCCGUAAACAAUGUCUGCUAGGUGUGGCUCCCACUACGAGUGGGUGCUGUGCCGUAGGGAAGCCGCUAAGCAGACCGCCUGGGAAGUACGUCCGCAAGGAUGAAACUUA
This 475-nucleotide ribosomal RNA is filed under the name Halorubrum sp. HA75. RNAcentral describes it as "bacterial SSU rRNA". It matches the Rfam family "Archaeal small subunit ribosomal RNA", at positions 384 to 858 of the family's 1478-position model. Lineage: Archaea; Methanobacteriati; Methanobacteriota; Halobacteria; Halobacteriales; Haloferacaceae. The record is from RNAcentral.